Molecule: ribosomal RNA, 403 nt
Filed under: uncultured Dysgonomonas sp.
Lineage: Bacteria; Pseudomonadati; Bacteroidota; Bacteroidia; Bacteroidales; Dysgonomonadaceae
Description: bacterial SSU rRNA
Rfam family: Bacterial small subunit ribosomal RNA
Source: RNAcentral
UGAGGGAAUAUUGGGUCAAUGGGCGGAAGCCUGAACCAGCCAAGUCGCGUGAAGGAUGAAGGUAUUAUGUAUUGUAAACUUCUUUAGCAGUGGAGAAAUAAUGGGCUCGUGAGCCCAGAUGCUAGUACACUGAGAAUAAGGAUCGGCUAACUCCGUGCCAGCAGCCGCGGUAAUACGGAGGAUCCGAGCGUUAUCCGGAUUUAUUGGGUUUAAAGGGUGCGCAGGCGGCCUUGCAAGUCAGCGGUCAAAUCGUGGAGCUCAACUCCAUUCCGCCGUUGAUACUGCCGGGCUUGAUUGCGGUUGAGGUUGGCGGAAUUCGUCGUGUAGCGGUGAAAUGCAUAGAUAUGACGAAGAACCCCGAUUGCGUAGGCAGCUGACCAAGCCGUAAAUGACGCUCAUGCAC